This 253-nucleotide ribosomal RNA is filed under the name uncultured bacterium. Its description in RNAcentral is "partial 16S ribosomal RNA". It matches the Rfam family "Bacterial small subunit ribosomal RNA", at positions 524 to 776 of the family's 1533-position model. The record is from RNAcentral.
UACAGAGGGUGCAAGCGUUGUUCGGAAUUAUUGGGCGUAAAGCGCGUGUAGGCGGCUUUGCAAGUCGGGUGUGAAAGCCCUCGGCUCAACUGAGGAAGUGCGCCCGAAACUGCAGAGCUUGAGUACCGGAGAGGAUGGCGGAAUUCCCCAAGUAGAGGUGAAAUUCGUAGAUAUGGGGAGGAACACCGGUGGCGAAGGCGGCCCGCUGGGCUGUGGCUGACGCUGAGGCGCGACAGCGUGGGGAGCAAACAGG